This 348-nucleotide unclassified non-coding RNA is filed under the name soil metagenome. RNAcentral describes it as "partial contains 5.8S ribosomal RNA, internal transcribed spacer 2, and large subunit ribosomal RNA". The stretch from base 1 to 120 matches the Rfam family "5.8S ribosomal RNA", at positions 35 to 154 of the family's 154-position model. The record is from RNAcentral.
GAUGAAGAACGUAGCGAAAUGCGAUAAGUAAUGUGAAUUGCAGAAUUCAGUGAAUCAUCGAAUCUUUGAACGCACAUUGCGCCCGCGAGUAUUCUCGCGGGCAUGCCUGUCCGAGCGUCAUUUCAACCCUCAGGGCCCGCCUGCUUGCAGGCGCGGCGCUGGUGUUGGGGAUCGGCUACCCUGCCGUCCCCCAAAUACAGUGGCGGUCUCGCUGCAGCCUCCCCUGCGUAGUAGCAACACUCGCAUGCGGAGCGCGGCGCGGCCACGCCGUAAAACCCCCGACUUUCUGAACGUUGACCUCGGAUCAGGUAGGAAUACCCGCUGAACUUAAGCAUAUCAAGCGGAGGA